UACGUAGGAUCCAAGCGUUGUCCGGAUUUACUGGGCGUAAAGGGUGCGCAGGCGGACUGGUUAGUCUGGGGUGAAAUCUCAUCGCUUAACGGUGAAACUGCCUUAGAUACUGCCAGUCUUGAAUUAGGGAGAGGUUCGUGGAAUUCCGAGUGUAGCAGUGAAAUGUGUAGAUAUUCGGAAGAACACCAGUGGCGAAGGCAGCGAACUGGCCCUUAAUUGACGCUCAGGCACGAAAGCAUGGGGAUCAAACAGG
This 253-nucleotide ribosomal RNA is filed under the name uncultured bacterium. RNAcentral describes it as "partial 16S ribosomal RNA". It matches the Rfam family "Bacterial small subunit ribosomal RNA", at positions 524 to 776 of the family's 1533-position model. The record is from RNAcentral.